RNAcentral lists this long non-coding RNA (780 nucleotides) under Phasianus colchicus (ring-necked pheasant). Its description in RNAcentral is "lncRNA (ENSPCLG00000012926.1)". Lineage: Eukaryota; Metazoa; Chordata; Aves; Galliformes; Phasianidae. The record is from RNAcentral.
GGUACCUACGGGGAAGGACAGGACUGUGAACAAACCAGACAUCAGCAGACCUUCUAUUUCCCUUGUUAAAAAGGUCAGAAGUGGUUUGAUGAAUGAGACAAGAGCACCAUGGAGAGACAGUAAUGGUCAGGUGGCUGAGACAACAGGACUGCCACAGACAGUCAGAUGCUGUUCCCAUUUCUGUUACAGGGCUUAUUUCUUGUGUUAAGUCACCCAGACCGAGGCAGCUACACAGAGCAGAUGGUAGCAGCUCAAAACAUGCCUGAGAGGGGCUCUUCUGAAAUGCCUUUGAUACCCAGUAAGAAGGCAGUGCACUGAAAUCAGCAGCUGAGGAUUCUCCGUACAGUAUCAUUUUCUUGGGAAAAAAAAAAAAAAAAAGUCUUAGAACUACAACUCAGACAAAUUAUUCUUGAGCUACUGCAUGUCUCCUUUGAAUUGCAAGGGAAAUGGCCCAAGAAGCAGCUUCCCUACUUCAGACAUCCACAUCCAAGCUGAAGAGACAAGGAGGCAGACAAUGAAAACCAAGAAGAAAAGGUUGUGGCACUCGGGAUGUGGGAUCGGAGAAAGGCUGAUGCUUCAUCCUGGAAGUCUCACUGAAGCAGGAAAGUGGUGAAUCUGAAAGUAGUAACGUGCUACCAGUUUUGAAGUCCUAACAGCCUAUUCCUGAAUUCUCAUCACCUGUUCUGUGCUGCAGCUCUAGAAACCACAACGGUAUACAGACCAUGCAAUCAAGCAAUGAAGGAAGCUUAUACCUAUGAAAUAAAUAUUAAUUUGUUUUCA